RNAcentral lists this long non-coding RNA (298 nucleotides) under Capsicum annuum. Its description in RNAcentral is "long non-coding RNA (CANN_LNC021917)". Lineage: Eukaryota; Viridiplantae; Streptophyta; Magnoliopsida; Solanales; Solanaceae. The record is from RNAcentral.
CAUUCGAACAAAUUGUAAAAACAAUAGAUUAUAAUGAUUAUACCUAUAAAGACAUAGAUACAGAAGAAAAUUUAGAAAUAGUAAAUGAUAGAAUAAGUACAACGAAAAGAAUAGCUAAUGAAAAACCAGAAUCAUCAAGCUCAUAAAAAAGAACAAGUUAUGAAACAAAUUCAAUAAGUAAUUUAAACCAAUAUUACAUAACAGGAAAAAUAAAUGAAAAAGAAUACCUAAUACUUUUAAAUACAGGACAAGAAGAAAAUUAUAUAGCAAAAUAUCUAGUAAAAAAUGAAGAAAUAAA